AUGCACGCUGGCGGCGUGCCUAAUACCUGCAAGUCGCGCGAACGGACGAGAAGCUUGCUUCUCUGAUGUUAGCGGCGGACGGGUGAGUAACACGUGGAUAACCUACCUAUAAGACUGGGAUAACUUCGGGAAACCGGAGCUAAUACCGGAUAAUAUUUUGAACCGCAUGGUUCAAAAGUAAAAGACGGUCUUGCUGUCACUUAUAGAUGGAUCCGCGCUGCAUUAGCUAGUUGGUAAGGUAACGGCUUACCAAGGCAACGAUGCAUAGCCGACCUGAGAGGGUGAUCGGCCACACUGGAACUGAGACACGGUCCAGACUCCUACGGGAGGCAGCAGUAGGGAAUCUUCCGCAAUGGGCGAAAGCCUGACGGAGCAACGCCGCGUGAGUGAUGAAGGUCUUCGGAUCGUAAAACUCUGUUAUUAGGGAAGAACAUAUGUGUAAGUAACUGUGCACAUCUUGACGGUACCUAAUCAGAAAGCCACGGCUAACUACGUG
RNAcentral lists this ribosomal RNA (496 nucleotides) under uncultured bacterium. RNAcentral's name for it is "partial 16S ribosomal RNA". It matches the Rfam family "Bacterial small subunit ribosomal RNA", at positions 29 to 507 of the family's 1533-position model. The record is from RNAcentral.